RNAcentral lists this transfer-messenger RNA (366 nucleotides) under Lotharella globosa. RNAcentral describes it as "partial transfer-messenger RNA". It matches the Rfam family "transfer-messenger RNA". Rfam says of the family: Bacterial tmRNA, also known as 10Sa RNA or SsrA, is named for its dual tRNA and mRNA-like properties. Its role is to liberate the mRNA from a stalled ribosome. The record is from RNAcentral. Lineage: Eukaryota; Cercozoa; Chlorarachniophyceae.
UUUCGGUUUCGACUUGUAAGCGAAGCUUUUAUGGCAUGCAGAGGACGUCGGUUUGCCUCUUUAAUCAUCCGGCAAAACAAUAAAUGCUAAACAGCAAGAAGUAUUGGGAGACCAAUACGAACAACUAGCGGCAUAAACCUAACAGUUUAUACUGCUCAGUAAUAUAGACCUAGGCUAAGGGGUUUAUACCUACUGUUAUUUUACUUGGUAAGGAUAAAGCCUUUCAUCAUUCCUCUUGAGCUUUAUCCGAGAUAAAAGAGGAUGCGUUAGCUUUGUUCGGGGCAUCUUGCGGCUGAGGUUAACGUAGUUCAAGGUGAUAAGCAUGUAGUCAUACAAGUUGUUUGUUUGAUAAGGACGAGAGUUCGA